UAAUCAUGAUGCUCUUCAUGACGACGUCGUGGAUUCGGCGUAUUUGACGGCGGUUCGUGGAUUCGGAUCGUGGGCUCGUGGAUUCGAGUGGCGUCGUGGAUUCGGCGUGAUUGAAGCUUCGUGGAUUCGAAGUUGAGGCGUUCGUGGAUUCGAACGUGAGGGCGUGGACAACCCGGAGGGUAGUGCGAAGAUUCAUAGGAGGUUAAGAGAGGUUAAGUCCGUGGAGUCGAUAAUCACCUUGUAAUCUUUUCUCUUAGUGAAUUGUUUUUUCGCGUGUUGGUCCCGUGGGUUUUUCUCCAAGUUGGAGUUUUCCCACGUAAAUCUCGGUGUGCUUUUUAUUUUU
RNAcentral lists this long non-coding RNA (343 nucleotides) under Ananas comosus (pineapple). RNAcentral describes it as "long non-coding RNA (ACOM_LNC036950)". The record is from RNAcentral. Lineage: Eukaryota; Viridiplantae; Streptophyta; Magnoliopsida; Poales; Bromeliaceae.